This 376-nucleotide ribosomal RNA is filed under the name uncultured bacterium. RNAcentral describes it as "bacterial SSU rRNA". It matches the Rfam family "Bacterial small subunit ribosomal RNA", at positions 28 to 368 of the family's 1533-position model. The record is from RNAcentral.
GACGAACGCUGGCGGCGUGCCUAAUACAUGCAAGUCGAACGCACUCUCGUUUAGAUUGAAGGAGCUUGCUCCUGAUUGAUAAACAUUUGAGUGAGUGGCGGACGGGUGAGUAACACGUGGGUAACCUGCCCUAAAGUGGGGGAUAACAUUUGGAAACAGAUGCUAAUACCGCAUAAAACCUAACAACCGCAUGGUGUAGGGUUGAAAGAUGGUUUCGGCUAUCACUUUAGGAUGGACCCGCGGUGCAUUAGUUAGUUGGUGAGGUAAAGGCUCACCAAGACCGUGAUGCAUAGCCGACCUGAGAGGGUAAUCGGCCACACUGGGACGUGAGACACGGCCCAGACUCCUACGGGAGGCAGCAGUAGGGAAUCUUCCA